AGGCUACGAAGCUAUUCUGGGGGUUCACACCCCGGGAGGCAAGAAGGCCUCUGGGUUGUAAACCUCUUUUCUCAGGGAAGAAUAUCUGACGGUACUUGAUGAAUAAGCCACGGCUAAUUCCGUGCCCACAGCCCCGGUAAUACCGGAGUGGCAAGCGUUAUCCGGAAUUAUUGGGCGUAAAGCGUCCGCAGGCGGGCUUAAAAGUCUGCUGGUAAAACCUGGAGCUUAACUCCCUAAAUCCCGUGGAAACUGGUUGACUAGAAUGUGGUAGGGGCAAAGGGAAUUCCCGGUGUAACGGUGAAAUGCGUAAAUAUCGGGAAAAACACCAGUGGCGAAGGGGCUUUUGCUGGGCCUUUUCUGACCCUUAUGGACCAAAACCAGGGGAGCCAAAAGGGAUUAAAUACCCCCGUUUUUCAAA
This 418-nucleotide ribosomal RNA is filed under the name uncultured bacterium. RNAcentral's name for it is "bacterial SSU rRNA". It matches the Rfam family "Bacterial small subunit ribosomal RNA", at positions 372 to 799 of the family's 1533-position model. The record is from RNAcentral.